RNAcentral lists this ribosomal RNA (275 nucleotides) under uncultured bacterium. RNAcentral's name for it is "partial 16S ribosomal RNA". It matches the Rfam family "Bacterial small subunit ribosomal RNA", at positions 399 to 691 of the family's 1533-position model. The record is from RNAcentral.
GCGUGAGUGAUGAAGGCCUUAGGGUUGUAAAGCUCUUUCACCGGGGAAGACGAUGACGGUACCCGGAGAAGAAGCCCCGGCUAACUUCGUGCCAGCAGCCGCGGUAAUACGAAGGGGGCUAGCGUUGUUCGGAAUUACUGGGCGUAAAGCGCGCGUAGGCGGUCUGCCAAGUCGGGGGUGAAAGCCCGGGGCUCAACCCCGGAACUGCCUCCGAGACUGGCAAGCUAGAGUAUGGAAGAGGGUCGUGGAAUUCCCAGUGUAGAGGUGAAAUUCGU